GAUGAACGCUGGCGGCGUGCCUAAUACAUGCAAGUCGAACGAGGUGCUUUUGUAGCAAUACGAGAGUAUCCUGGUGGCGAACGGGUGAGUAACGCGUGGAUGACCUGCCCCAAAGUGUGGGAUAACAGUCCGAAAGGAUUGCUAAUACCUCAUGUGGUUAUCGGUUUUAGAAAGCGAUAACUAAAGCAGCAAUGCGCUUUGGGAGGGAUCUGCGUCCCAUCAGCUAGUUGGUGAGGUAACGGCUCACCAAGGCGACGACGGGUAGGGGACCUGAGAGGGUGGCCCCCCANAAUGGAACUGAAACACGGUCCAUACACCUACGGGUGGCAGCAGUAGGGAAUAUUGCUCAAUGGGCGAAAGCCUGAAGCAGCAACGCCGCGUGUGCGAUGAAGGCCUUGGGUCGUAAAGCACUUUCUAAGAGAUGAGAAAGGAACAGUAUCUUAGGAAUAAGUCUCGGCUAACUACGUGCCAGCAGCCGCGGUAAAGU
This 487-nucleotide ribosomal RNA is filed under the name uncultured bacterium. RNAcentral's name for it is "bacterial SSU rRNA". It matches the Rfam family "Bacterial small subunit ribosomal RNA", at positions 28 to 526 of the family's 1533-position model. The record is from RNAcentral.